GACGAACGCUGGCGGCGUGCUUAACACAUGCAAGUCGAACGGAAAGGCCUCUUUCGGGGGGUACUCGAGUGGCGAACGGGUGAGUAACAGGUGAGUAACCUGCCCUUGACUUUGGGAUAACUUCAGGAAACUGGGGCUAAUACCGGAUAGGAGCUCCUGCUGCAUGGUGGGGGUUGGAAAGUUUCGGCGGUUGGGGAUGUACUCGCGGCUUAUCAGCUUGUUGGUGGGGUAGUGGCUUACCAAGGCUUUGACGGGUAGCCGGCCUGAGAGGGUGACAGGCCACAUUGGGACUGAGAUACGGCCCAGACUCCUACGGGAGGCAGCAGUGGGGAAUAUUGCACAAGGGGUGGAAGCCUGAUGCAGUAACGCCGUGUGCGGGAUGACGGCCUUCGGGUUGUAAAACGCUUUCGCUCAUGACGAAGCUUUGUGUGACGGUAGUGGGUAAAGAAGCACCGGCUAACUACGUG
RNAcentral lists this ribosomal RNA (467 nucleotides) under uncultured bacterium. Its description in RNAcentral is "partial 16S ribosomal RNA". It matches the Rfam family "Bacterial small subunit ribosomal RNA", at positions 28 to 507 of the family's 1533-position model. The record is from RNAcentral.